This 465-nucleotide unclassified non-coding RNA is filed under the name uncultured Melanogaster. RNAcentral's name for it is "sequence contains ITS2". The stretch from base 1 to 155 matches the Rfam family "5.8S ribosomal RNA". The record is from RNAcentral. Lineage: Eukaryota; Fungi; Basidiomycota; Agaricomycetes; Boletales; Melanogastraceae.
AACUUUGAGCAAUGGAUCUCUUGGCUCUCGCAUCGAUGAAGAACGCAGCGAAUUGCGAUACGUAAUGUCAAUUGCAGAUUUUCAGUGAAUCAUCGAAUCUUUGAACGCACCUUGCGCUCCUUGGUAUUCCGAGGAGCAUGCCUGUUUGAGUGUCAUUGAAUUCUCAACCAUUCUUUGAAUUGAUUUUUCGAGGAGUGGCUUGGAUUUUGGGAGUUUGCCGGCUUACCCUAGUGUACGGUCGGCUCUCCUUAAAAGCAUUAGCGAAAGGUGGCAAGCCCCUGCAUGCACGGCCUUCGACGUGAUAAUGAUCGUCGUGGCUGGAAGUGCGAGGCGCAGAUCGUCCUUUGCUUCUAAACAAUGGCAUCGGGGAGUCUGCUUCGGCAGACGAACCCUUUACCUCUGACGCUUGACCUCAAAUCAGGUAGGACUACCCGCUGAACUUAAGCAUAUCAAUAAGCGGAGGCU